Molecule: transfer RNA, 72 nt
Filed under: Chloroflexota bacterium
Lineage: Bacteria; Bacillati; Chloroflexota
Description: Chloroflexi bacterium (groundwater metagenome) tRNA-His
Rfam family: tRNA
About the family: Transfer RNA (tRNA) molecules are approximately 80 nucleotides in length. Their secondary structure includes four short double-helical elements and three loops (D, anti-codon, and T loops). Further hydrogen bonds mediate the characteristic L-shaped molecular structure. tRNAs have two regions of fundamental functional importance: the anti-codon, which is responsible for specific mRNA codon recognition, and the 3' end, to which the tRNAs corresponding amino acid is attached (by aminoacyl-tRNA synthetases). tRNAs cope with the degeneracy of the genetic code in two manners: having more than one tRNA (with a specific anti-codon) for a particular amino acid; and 'wobble' base-pairing, i.e. permitting non-standard base-pairing at the 3rd anti-codon position.
Source: RNAcentral
GUGCCUGUAGCUCAAUGGCAGAGCGCUGGACUGUGGAUCCAGUUGUUGUGGGUUCGAGACCCAUCAGGCACC